GAGAAAGCACGCAAGAACUGCUAACUCAUGCCCCCAUAUUUGACAAUAUGGCUUUCUCAA
This 60-nucleotide transfer RNA is filed under the name Rhinoceros sondaicus (Javan rhinoceros). RNAcentral's name for it is "tRNA-Ser". Lineage: Eukaryota; Metazoa; Chordata; Mammalia; Perissodactyla; Rhinocerotidae. The record is from RNAcentral.